UACGGAAGGGGCAAGCGUUUUUCGGAAUUACUGGGCGUAAAGCGCACGUAGGCGGAUUGGCAAGUCAGGGGUGAAAUCCCGGGGCUCAACCUCGGAAUUGCCUUUGAUACUGCCAGUCUAGAGUCCGGAAGAGGUGGGUGGAAUUCCUAGUGUAGAGGUGAAAUUCGCAGAGAUUAGGAAGAACACCGGUGGCGAAGGCGGCCCACUGGUCCGGAACUGACGCUGAGGUGCGAAAGCGUGGGGAGCAAACAGG
This 253-nucleotide ribosomal RNA is filed under the name uncultured bacterium. RNAcentral describes it as "partial 16S ribosomal RNA". It matches the Rfam family "Bacterial small subunit ribosomal RNA", at positions 524 to 776 of the family's 1533-position model. The record is from RNAcentral.